This 636-nucleotide ribosomal RNA is filed under the name uncultured Roseateles sp. Its description in RNAcentral is "bacterial SSU rRNA". It matches the Rfam family "Bacterial small subunit ribosomal RNA", at positions 125 to 756 of the family's 1533-position model. Lineage: Bacteria; Pseudomonadati; Pseudomonadota; Betaproteobacteria; Burkholderiales; Sphaerotilaceae. The record is from RNAcentral.
CGUGCCCAGUCGUGGGGGAUAACUGCUCGAAAGAGCAGCUAAUACCGCAUACGACCUGAGGGUGAAAGCGGGGGAUCGCAAGACCUCGCGCGAUUGGAGCGGCCGAUAUCAGAUUAGGUAGUUGGUGAGGUAAAGGCUCACCAAGCCGACGAUCUGUAGCUGGUCUGAGAGGACGACCAGCCACACUGGGACUGAGACACGGCCCAGACUCCUACGGGAGGCAGCAGUGGGGAAUUUUGGACAAUGGGCGCAAGCCUGAUCCAGCCAUGCCGCGUGCGGGAAGAAGGCCUUCGGGUUGUAAACCGCUUUUGUCAGGGAAGAAAAGGUUCUGGCUAAUACCUGGGACUCAUGACGGUACCUGAAGAAUAAGCACCGGCUAACUACGUGCCAGCAGCCGCGGUAAUACGUAGGGUGCAAGCGUUAAUCGGAAUUACUGGGCGUAAAGCGUGCGCAGGCGGUUAUGCAAGACAGAGGUGAAAUCCCCGGGCUCAACCUGGGAACUGCCUUUGUGACUGCAUGGCUAGAGUACGGUAGAGGGGGAUGGAAUUCCGCGUGUAGCAGUGAAAUGCGUAGAUAUGCGGAGGAACACCGAUGGCGAAGGCAAUCCCCUGGACCUGUACUGACGCUCAUGCACGA